GGUCACUGCUAUUGGGAUUCGAUUAAGCCAUGCGAGUCGAGAGGGUUCGGCCCUCGGCUGACGGCUCAGUAACACGUGGAUAAUCUGCCCUUAGGUGGAGGAUAAUCUCGGGAAACUGAGGACAAUACUCCAUAGGUUUAGGAGGCUGGAAUGCAUCUAGACUGAAAGCUCCGGCGCCUAAGGAUGAGUCUGCGGACUAUCAGGUAGUAGUCAGGGUAUAGACCUGACUAGCCUACGACGGAUACGGGUUGUGAGAGCAAUAACCCGGAGACGAUAUCUGAGACACGAUAUCGGGCCCUACGGGGCGCAGCAGGCGCGAAAACUUCACACUGUGCGAAAGCACGAUGAGGGAAUCCCAAGUGCUUGCUCGUAAGAGUAAGCUGUUUCUCUGUCUAAAACGCAGAGAGAGUAAGAGCUGGGUAAGACGGGUGCCAGCCGCCGCGGUAAUACCUGCAGCUCAAGUGGUGGCCGCUAUUAUUGGGCCUAAAACGUCCGUAGCCGGUUUAGUAAAUGCCUGGGUAAAUCGUGUAGCUUAACUAUACGAAUUCCGGGUAGACUGCUAAACUUGAGACCGGGAGAAGCCAGAGGUACUCCUAGGGUAGAGGUGAAAUUCUGUAAUCCUAGGGGGACCACCAGUGGCGAAGGCGUCUAGCUAGAACGGGUCUGACGGUGAGGGACGAAACCCUGGGGCGCAAACCGGAUUAGAUACCCGGGUAGUCCAGGGCGUAAACGCUGCUUGCUUGAUGUUAGUUGGGCUCCGAGCCCAAUUAGUGUCGGAGAGAAGUUGUUAAGCAAGCUGCCUGGGAAGUACGGUCGCAAGGCUGAAACUUAAAGGAAUUGGCGGGGGAGCACAGCAACGGGGGGGAGCGUGCGGUUU
This 877-nucleotide ribosomal RNA is filed under the name uncultured archaeon. Its description in RNAcentral is "bacterial SSU rRNA". It matches the Rfam family "Archaeal small subunit ribosomal RNA", at positions 21 to 903 of the family's 1478-position model. The record is from RNAcentral.